CCAGGGAUUUAAAUAACGGUCCGUUACCGAAAUAGCGGCCGUUAUAUAGCGGUAGCGGCGCCGUCCGAAACCGCAAUUGCUGAAAAUAGCGGUGAGAAGCGGAGUCACACCGAUAGCGGUGGAUCACGGCCGCAAUUUAACGGGUAACGGCCAAUUGCGGCAAUAACGGGCCGCUAUUCCCGUUAUUUCCCGUUAACAGCAAAUUAAAAAAAAAUCAUCUCCUUUAAACAAAAAUCAACAGAAACACUGAAACACAGUUCAAUCAAAAAAAGGAAAAAGAACAAAGAACAAAGAACAAAGAAGAUAACGGGAAAAAGAACAAAAAACAAAAAAGAGGAGGUAUGCCUGAAAAUGGAGCUCCCUGAGGGCCUGAGUACGCUGAAGAACAAAGAAGAUACGAUUAGCUAUGUGAACCAGACUAGAAAGAACCAGACUAGAAAGAACCAGGAGAGGAAGAACGGAAGGAAGAAAGCUUCAAAACAAUAAGAAAAUGGAACGGUUCGGAAGGAAAAGUUUUGAAAAAGGAAAUGGUCAAAUUGAAAAUGAAAUGAUGGGAUUAUGGGAAGAAGAGAGGGCAGAUUUCAGCUGAUUGGGCAAGGAAUCGGUGCCUUUUUUUAGGAUUAUAUCUAGAUUUUUUUACUUUAAAAAUAUUUAGAUUUUUUUACUUUGGGCCAUCUGCUUUGGGCCUUUUUUAGAAUUUUUGUAAUUUUGUUCUAUUAAUAAAAGCCCAAUAUAAUGUUAUUAAAAAAAAAGAAAAAUGAAGUCCAAAUAAACAGCAAAAAGCAAUCAAAGUCUAAAUAUUUAAAACUCUAAAAAUCAUAAAAAAUGAUUUUUUAUAAUUAUAAUUAUAAUUCCUAUGUUUUAUAAUAAGUUGUGCAAAUUUUAAAAAAAUUCACGACCGCGAUAUCCGCAGUAACCGCAAUAGCGUCCGUUAUGUCCGCGACCGCGACAAACGCGACGCGACCGAAAACGCGACCGCGACCGUAAUUUAAAUCCCUG
Molecule: long non-coding RNA, 999 nt
Filed under: Gossypium raimondii (Peruvian cotton)
Lineage: Eukaryota; Viridiplantae; Streptophyta; Magnoliopsida; Malvales; Malvaceae
Description: long non-coding RNA (GRAI_LNC005832)
Source: RNAcentral